RNAcentral lists this ribosomal RNA (118 nucleotides) under Lepisosteus oculatus (spotted gar). The record is from RNAcentral. Lineage: Eukaryota; Metazoa; Chordata; Actinopteri; Semionotiformes; Lepisosteidae.
UCCAGCAGUCAUAUCACCAUGCAACUCACAACUGGCAACCCACUGAAGCUCAGCAGGUGCGAGCCUGGUCAGUACCUGGAUGGGAGACCUCCUGGGAAAGCUGAGGCUGCUGCUGGAA